CCUACGGGAGGCAGCAGUGGGGAAUAUUGCGCAAUGGGCGCAAGCCUGACCCAGCAACGCCGCGUGAAGGAAGAAGGCCCUCGGGUUGUAAACUUCUUUUGUCAGGGACGAAGAAAGUGACGGUACCUGACGAAUAAGCCACGGCUAACUACGUUCCAGCAGCCGCGGUAAUACGGAGGUGGGAAGCGUUAUCCGGAUUUACUGGGUGUAAAGGGCGUGUAGGCGGGACUUCAAGUCAGAUGUGAAAUUCCAGGGCUCAACCCUUGAACUGCAUGUGAAACUGUAGUGCUUGAGUGAUGGAGAGGGAGGGGGAAUUCCGGGUGUAGGGGUGAAAGGAGGAGAUAGAAGGAGGAACACCAGUGGCGAAGGCGGCCUGCUGGACAUUAACUGACGCUGAGGCGCGAAAGCGUGGGGAGCAAACAGGAUUAGAUACCCGGGUAGUC
This 443-nucleotide ribosomal RNA is filed under the name uncultured bacterium. RNAcentral's name for it is "partial 16S ribosomal RNA". It matches the Rfam family "Bacterial small subunit ribosomal RNA", at positions 338 to 795 of the family's 1533-position model. The record is from RNAcentral.